UGCCCCAUUGCAAAUAUUCAUGGACACAGUUCACGUUUGUGUCCUAUGGAACAAUGUGGCUACAGUGAAAGCAGGUUUUGCUUCCAUCACAGUAAAAAUAAGUUACUCUGGUGACAAUGAGACCUGUAACAGGA
Small nucleolar RNA from Tachyglossus aculeatus (Australian echidna), 134 nucleotides. RefSeq annotates it as small nucleolar RNA SNORA1. The record is from RefSeq and is a predicted model, not a curated record. The transcript has a single exon. NCBI's taxonomy places the organism in Eukaryota, Metazoa, Chordata, Mammalia, Monotremata, Tachyglossidae.